This 67-nucleotide transfer RNA is filed under the name Ophioplinthus brevirima. RNAcentral's name for it is "tRNA-Asp". The record is from RNAcentral. Lineage: Eukaryota; Metazoa; Echinodermata; Ophiuroidea; Amphilepidida; Ophiuridae.
AGAAGUUUAGUUAAAAUAUAACAAAGGUCUGUCAGUCCAAUAUUGUGACAUUUAGUCACAACUUCUU